GGGACUGAGGAAAGAAACAGGAGAUGAGGGAAACAGAAGAGCCUCCUGUUCCCAGAAGAUCCCAGAAUCUGAGGCCUCCUGAGGGAAGGUGGGUACCCUGGGUGGGCAGAAAGCCUCUGAGCUGCCCCUUGUCCCAGCAGUGGCUGUGCAGCAGAGCAGGCGCCUGGAGCUGGGGAGGUGAGGGCUGCCCUGUGAGCUGAGCAGGAACAGCCCCUUCCCAGCACCGGCAUCCCUGGGGUCCUCCCUGGGGAGAUGCUGAUGCUGCCUUUGGCUGAGGCAGCCACAGGGCUGGCUGCUGCAGGAGGGAAAAGCCCAGAAGGAGCCUUGCAGGCACAGCAAGGACAGAGCUCUGCUCUUCUUCCUUUGCUCCCCCAGCAGAGUGGUUUCCUGCAGCUCUGUCAUCUCGGGGCUGGGAGCUGCUUUGCGCACUCUCUCACACAGCAAACAGGCAGCUUGGUCUCAGCAUGCACCUGGGAUCCCUCGUCCUCACUGUCCUUCUGGGGACACUGCUGGGCACCAUGGGGCAGGUCACCGUCACCCAGCCACAAAGAGAAGUCACACUGCAGCAGGGGGACUCCUUCAAAACUACCUGCACAUACCAGAGCUCUGGCUUCGAUGUCUUGCUCUGGUACCAGCAGAAGAAAGGCCAAGCUCCCCAGCUGCUCUCGUAUCAAGCAAGAUCUGACCAGAAGGUCACUGGCCGUUUCAGGACUGUGCUGAACACCACGGGGAAAUACAGCCUCCUGCAGCUGGAGGAAGUCGAGGUCUCUGACAGUGCCUUGUACCUCUGUGCUGUGCAAGACACCGCGGUGCAGGGAGCUUCCUUGGCUGUGCAACAACCCAGGGCAGGGAGGGGAUGUUCUUGCUCAGCUGCUGGAGACAGUGGCUGCAAGGGCCCCACUGCCCCAUGUGGCAGCUCCUCAUUGCUCUGGCACUGA
Molecule: non-coding RNA, 938 nt
Organism: Colius striatus (speckled mousebird)
Lineage: Eukaryota; Metazoa; Chordata; Aves; Coliiformes; Coliidae
Source: the annotation of a RefSeq genome assembly